Molecule: ribosomal RNA, 710 nt
Filed under: Staphylococcus equorum
Lineage: Bacteria; Bacillati; Bacillota; Bacilli; Caryophanales; Staphylococcaceae
Description: bacterial SSU rRNA
Rfam family: Bacterial small subunit ribosomal RNA
Source: RNAcentral
UCGAGCGAACGGAUAAGGAGCUUGCUCCUUUGAAGUUAGCGGCGGACGGGUGAGUAACACGUGGGUAACCUACCUAUAAGACUGGAAUAACUUCGGGAAACCGGAGCUAAUGCCGGAUAACAUUUGGAACCGCAUGGUUCUAAAGUAAAAGAUGGUUUUGCUAUCACUUAUAGAUGGACCCGCGCCGUAUUAGCUAGUUGGUAAGGUAACGGCUUACCAAGGCAACGAUACGUAGCCGACCUGAGAGGGUGAUCGGCCACACUGGAACUGAGACACGGUCCAGACUCCUACGGGAGGCAGCAGUAGGGAAUCUUCCGCAAUGGACGAAAGUCUGACGGAGCAACGCCGCGUGAGUGAUGAAGGUUUUCGGAUCGUAAAACUCUGUUAUUAGGGAAGAACAAAUGCGUAAGUAACUGUGCGCAUCUUGACGGUACCUAAUCAGAAAGCCACGGCUAACUACGUGCCAGCAGCCGCGGUAAUACGUAGGUGGCAAGCGUUAUCCGGAAUUAUUGGGCGUAAAGCGCGCGUAGGCGGUUUCUUAAGUCUGAUGUGAAAGCCCACGGCUCAACCGUGGAGGGUCAUUGGAAACUGGGAAACUUGAGUACAGAAGAGGAAAGUGGAAUUCCAUGUGUAGCGGUGAAAUGCGCAGAGAUAUGGAGGAACACCAGUGGCGAAGGCGACUUUCUGGUCUGUAACUGACGCUGAUGUGC